AGAACGAACGCUGGCGGCAGGCUUAACACAUGCAAGUCGAACGCUCGUAGCAAUACGGGAGUGGCAGACGGGUGAGUAACGCGUGGGAACAUACCCUCCGGUUCGGAAUAGCUCAGGGAAACUUGGAUUAAUACCGGAUACGGCUGAGAGGCGAAAGAUUUAUCGCCGGAGGAUUGGCCCGCGUUCGAUUAGCUUGUUGGUGAGGUAACGGCUCACCAAGGCGAUGAUCGAUAGCUGGUCUGAGAGGAUGAUCAGCCACAUUGGGACUGAGACACGGCCCAAACUCCUACGGGAGGCAGCAGUGGGGAAUAUUGGACAAUGGGCGCAAGCCUGAUCCAGCCAUGCCGCGUGAGUGAUGACGGCCUUAGGGUUGUAAAGCUCUUUCGCUCGGGACGAUAAUGACGGUACCGAGAUAAGAACGCCCCGGCUAACUUCGUGCCAGCAGCCGC
RNAcentral lists this ribosomal RNA (449 nucleotides) under uncultured bacterium. RNAcentral describes it as "SSU rRNA". It matches the Rfam family "Bacterial small subunit ribosomal RNA", at positions 26 to 518 of the family's 1533-position model. The record is from RNAcentral.